Molecule: transfer RNA, 67 nt
Filed under: Nisia fuliginosa
Lineage: Eukaryota; Metazoa; Arthropoda; Insecta; Hemiptera; Meenoplidae
Description: tRNA-Arg
Source: RNAcentral
AAAUAAAUAAGCCAAAAAGCAUUUUAAUUUCGACUUAAAAAAAAGAUUUAAAAAAAUCAUUUAUUUA